RNAcentral lists this ribosomal RNA (834 nucleotides) under Bacillus licheniformis. RNAcentral's name for it is "bacterial SSU rRNA". It matches the Rfam family "Bacterial small subunit ribosomal RNA", at positions 105 to 925 of the family's 1533-position model. The record is from RNAcentral. Lineage: Bacteria; Bacillati; Bacillota; Bacilli; Caryophanales; Bacillaceae.
GGUGAGUAACACGUGGGUAACCUGCCUGUAAGACUGGGAUAACUCCGGGAAACCGGGGCUAAUACCGGAUGGUUGUUUGAACCGCAGGUUCAGACAUAAAAGGUGGCUUCGGCUACCACUUACAGAUGGACCCGCGGCGCAUAGCUAGUUGGUGAGGUAACGGCUCACCAAGGCGACGAUGCGUAGCCGACCUGAGAGGGUGAUCGGCCACACUGGGACUGAGACACGGCCCAGACUCCUACGGGAGGCAGCAGUAGGGAAUCUUCCGCAAUGGACGAAAGUCUGACGGAGCAACGCCGCGUGAGUGAUGAAGGUUUUCGGAUCGUAAAGCUCUGUUGUUAGGGAAGAACAAGUGCCGUUCAAAUAGGGCGGCACCUUGACGGUACCUAACCAGAAAGCCACGGCUAACUACGUGCCAGCAGCCGCGGUAAUACGUAGGUGGCAAGCGUUGUCCGGAAUUAUUGGGCGUAAAGGGCUCGCAGGCGGUUUCUUAAGUCUGAUGUGAAAGCCCCCGGCUCAACCGGGGAGGGUCAUUGGAAACUGGGGAACUUGAGUGCAGAAGAGGAGAGUGGAAUUCCACGUGUAGCGGUGAAAUGCGUAGAGAUGUGGAGGAACACCAGUGGCGAAGGCGACUCUCUGGUCUGUAACUGACGCUGAGGAGCGAAAGCGUGGGGAGCGAACAGGAUUAGAUACCCUGGUAGUCCACGCCGUAAACGAUGAGUGCUAAGUGUUAGGGGGUUUCCGCCCCUUAGUGCUGCAGCUAACGCAUUAAGCACUCCGCCUGGGGAGUACGGUCGCAAGACUGAAACUCAAAGGAAUUGACGGGGGCCCGCA